Molecule: long non-coding RNA, 570 nt
Organism: Neopelma chrysocephalum (saffron-crested tyrant-manakin)
Lineage: Eukaryota; Metazoa; Chordata; Aves; Passeriformes; Pipridae
Exons: 2
Source: RefSeq, a predicted model, not a curated record
AAACACUGGUGAGGAAUUUCCAAAAUGUGAAAGCACAUCACGCAGAGGGCAUGGGAAUAUUACCCACAGUGCAGAGACCUUCCUCCAGAGCCAAAGGGCUAAAUGAAAUCAUCUGCCACCUGCAGAGCUGCAGGUGCCCUGUAGUGGCAGAGCACAACUCUGCAGCUGCUUCCGGUGCCUGCAGCGUGGAGGCUGAGAAUGAAAACACACAAGAAGCCUCGACAUCUUGAUGGAUACUCUGCUAUUGCUGCAGCAGCACAAAGCAGCAGCCUAAACCAACAGUGAACAGCUUAAACUGAGAGGCAGGGAGGUACUCUGUGUCCGUGUGAAUCCGAUGGGGGAGCUCAGCAAUGUGUUGCCCUUCACAAAGCAGCACAAAGUGAAUCGAUUUUGCCUCCUGUGCUGUAGCAUCCCACAGGUCAGCACAGUGUCAUGGGCUGUUUCCUGUGAACCAGGAGGGAACAAAGGACACGUUGCAAUGAGAUGCUUUCUGCUGACCAGCACCUUCUUAGCCUGCCCUGCCUCAGGUCCUGUCCUAGGUGUGAAAUAAAGGGUGAUUGUUUCUCAUGA